GAGCAGGUCCUGCCAGGCAGCAGAAGCAGCAGCAGAAGCAGCCGGUGCUGGGCUCAAGUUGGCGCGGACCUCGGCGGGGCAGCGCCCGGAGCGCCCCUCGCCUUAACCCGGCUCCUCUGAUGUGACCAUGGCGAUGCCGGCGCCGCUCAUCCCCGCCGCGCAGCCGGCGCCCCCAGCGCCGCCGCCCCCCGCGCCCCCGGCAGCCGCCCCCUCCCCGCCGCCCGCCCCGACCGCUCCGGCCGCCCCCGCCGCCGCCCCCACCACCGUCCCCGGCCUCUUCCGCCCGGAGCCCGGCUCGGCUGUUGCAGCUGCGGCCGCUGCGGCGGCUGUUGCUGCCGCUGCUGCGGCGGCGGCGGCGGCGGCAUCGGCUUCUGGAGGUGCGGAGAACAGUUCGGGUCCCGGUCCGGCUCCGGUUCCCGUUCCGUGUCCGGGCGCGGCAGGCGGCGCCCCGCCGACGCCUUCGGGCAAACCGGUCUACUCGACGCCUUCGCCGGUGGAGAACACGCCGCAGAACAACGAGUGUAAGAUGGUGGAGCUGCGCGGCGCCCAGGUGGCCUCGUUCUCGGUGGAGGGCUGCGAGCUGAUCUGCCUGCCGCAGGCCUUCGACCUCUUCCUCAAGCACCUGGUGGGCGGCUUGCACACGGUCUACACCAAGCUCAAGCGCCUGGAGAUCACGCCGGUGGUCUGCAACGUGGAGCAGGUGCGCAUCCUGCGCGGCUUGGGGGCCAUCCAGCCCGGCGUCAACCGAUGCAAACUCAUCUCCAGGAGGGACUUCGAGACGCUCUACAACGACUGUACCAACGCCAGCUCCAGACCUGGGCGGCCCCCAAAACGGACGCAGAGUGUGACUUCUCCAGAAAAUUCCCAUAUCAUGCCGCAUUCCGUCCCUGGUCUUCUCUCACCGGGAAUUAUCCCACCGACAGGUCUGACAGCUGCGGCUGCUGCUGCGGCCGCGGCCACCAAUGCGGCCAUCGCGGAAGCAAUGAAGGUGAAAAAAAUUAAAUUAGAAGCAAUGUCAAAUUAUCAUCCCAAUAAUAACCAGCACGCAGCAGAGUCUGAAAACGGGGACCUAAAUUCUGCUGUGGGCCUUGAGCUACCUUUCAUGAUGAUGCCCCAUCCGCUUAUUCCGGUCAGCCUGCCCCCAGCAUCCGUCACAAUGGCCAUGAAUCAGAUGAACCACCUUACCACAAUUGCAAACAUGGCCGCCGCAGCACAAGUACAGGGCCCUCCCUCCCGAGUGGAGACAUCUGUGAUUAAGGAACGAGUUCCAGACAGCCCUUCCCCUGCUCCAUCUCUCGAAGACGGUCGAAGGCCUGGUAGCCAUCCAUCCUCACAUCGUAGCAGCAGCGUAUCCAGCUCCCCUGCCCGAACCGAAAGCUCUUCAGACAGAAUCCCAGCUGUCCAUCAGAACGGCCUCUCCAUGAACCAGAUGUUGUUGGGCUUAUCUCCGAACGUUUUACCUGGUCCGAAAGAAGGUGACCUGGCCGGCCACGAGGGUGGGCACGACUCCAAAAGAAUGCACCUGGAGAAAGAUGAGACCCCGCUCUCCACACCAACCACAAGAGACAGCCUUGACAAACUUUCGCUAACUGGCCACGGACAACCUCUUCCUCCCGGGUUCCCGUCUCCUUUUCUAUUUCCUGAUGGAUUGUCCUCCAUAGAAACCCUCCUGACAAAUAUCCAGGGGCUCUUAAAAGUUGCCAUCGACAAUGCACGGGCUCAAGAGAAGCAGGUGCAGCUCGAAAAGACGGAGCUCAAAAUGGAACUCUUUAGGGAAAGAGAACUGAGAGAAACACUUGAAAAACAGUUAGCGGUGGAGCAGAAGAACAGAGCAAUAAUUCAGAAAAGGUUAAAGAAGGAAAAGAAGGCGAAGAGGAAAUUGCAGGAAGCACUUGAAUUCGAAACAAAGCGGCGAGAACAAGCCGAACAGGCGCUAAAGCAAGCAGCUUCCACCGAUAACCUCAGGGUCCUAAAUGAUUCUCUGACCCCAGAGAUAGAAGCUGACCGCAGCGGGGGCCGAACAGAUGCUGAGAGGACAAUACAAGGUAACAUCUGAAGGUAACAACUGCAAAUGAAAAAAAACAAGCUCAGAGAACUCGUACAACCCAGAGCUACCUAUAUGCUUCACAGACCAGAUGGAAGACUUUAUCUGAAAACUACUGUUAUGUACUGAGUUUGUUCAGUCGGAACAAUGUGUGUUACCAAGCCAGAGGACUCUGCAGUAAAACAUCCAGUGUUUCAAAGUUCUGCAAAAGAAAAAUGGGGAAGGUGCUUUGCAGAAAACUUUUAUCACUUCACAUAGCCAUGUGCGGAGAUUUUAAGUGUUUGAUGGGAGCAUCCUCAUUGCAUUGUCCAAGCUCCAUCCUGUGUUACGGAAGACAUUUCUACAAACUUGUGUAGCUUUCUAGUAGCUACCAGGAACUCUGUACUGAGACUCCAGAGCAGAACUCUGUAUUCCCAUUUCAAUGGAAUAAGAACUGUUAUUCUCUUCUGAAUCUUUUAGGCACAUCAAGGAAAUCUUCCACUUCUCAUGUUAAGCACUCUUAUGCCAAACCAGCAAGAUGGUAAAAAAAAAAAAAAUGAAUAUUUCUCAAAUGGACAUCAGAAGAUUCCUAAAAACAAAACAAAAAAACAUAAAACCUGAGGUUAGGAAUACACAAAACAAAAUGUUAUAUACCAUUUUCUUUCUUUCUUUUCUUUUUUGGUCCAAAUUCUGGGAAAUGGGUUCUUUUACACAGUCUUUGCAAGAGACCAAGGCGUACUUUAUAAGAACUUAAACAAAAGAAGUACAGAGUUUGAACAGCAUUAUGUACGAUUUGCAGUAAUCCCAAGACGAAGAAGAAGAAGAAGAAGAAGAAGAAGAAGAAGAAGAAGAAGAAGAAGAAGAAGAAGAGGAAGAGGAAGAGGAAGAGGAAGAGGAAGAGGAAGAGGAAGAGGAAGAGGAAGAGGAAGAGGAAGAGGAAGAGGAAGAGGAAGAAGAAGAAGAAGAAUGCUUAUAAUUUCUCAUGUUAAACUGUCAGUAUAAGAGGGAUGACAAGUUGUUCCUCAUUUCUGAAACUGUUCAGGUGUAUAGUAUAUAACCACAAAAACCACUCACAGAAAAUAUUAUGUAUGCAGUAGUAUACUAGAUUUUAGGAAAACAACAAUUUUAGAGAAUAUGUUUUGUCACCCUGUUGAUCCAAACACCAUCUUCCUAAUUUUUAACGCAUGCAGGCAUGUAAAUAUUUGUCUUGAAGUCACAGUGUUAAUGAAGGGAAUCUUAACCAUCUGGGAGGGGUGAUCACCUUUAUAUGUAUAUGCUGAAAAAAAAAAGGGACACUUUUCCGAGUGAAUUGUGGCCCCAAAUCAAGUCAACUCCCCAGAAAUAUUUUUCUAUAUUAAUGUCAUAUUACUUCAACCUUGCCGGGGAGAAAAAAAUUGUCCCCAAGGCUGUAAAGACAUUUGAUGUAUCAGUCCAAUACCACGUAGAGCUAAGUGAUGAUCUUCAGUCUUUUGUCCUUUUGACCCACCAUUGUAGGCGGUUCCGUGUUAUUUUUAUUGUCUUUAUAAAAAAAAAAAAAAACAGUCUCCUGUUUUUCACCUUUGUGCUCAUAACUGGAAGCGAGUUGAAACCGAGUGUUUUGUACAUCUUAAAUUUUCUCCUUGGCUCGGCCGACUUCUCCAAGUUACCCCUUUAAAGACCACUUGGAAGGAUGCUCCAGGCUUUCUGGAUCUUUAAUGUUUUACGCAGAAAACGCCUUUUCUACGAAUUCAUAAUUGGGAACCUUCAAGUGCUUAAUCAUCUGGAUGACCUACAGCGUGUCCAGAUUUAAAAUCUGCCGGGUAAGGCAAAUUUUUAAGAGGGCUUCUCAAUCUGGAUUUCUGUUCGUUUUGGCAUGCAUCGAGACCACGCCUUCAUUUUACGUCUUAAAAAAAAAACUAUCGUUGAAAACACAAAGCAAAGCCUUCGUUACCUUUGAAGGUUCCUUUUAAAUCAUAAACAGUUAAGAAAAUCUUAAAUAUUUCUUAUCUUUUGAAAGAAAGUUGUGCAGUCUUUAAAGGGUUAACAGUUAUAAUUGGAUGAACUUUUGUGGCAAAUGGCUAAUUCUAUACAAGGGAUUUUUGGUUAUUCACUUCACUGACAAAACAGUGGUUCCAGAAUCUACCAUUCCUCUCGUCCUGGCAAAAAAAAUAAUAAAAUGAAAGCCACCCAUAAGUUGGUGUGAUCAUUUUUACAGUGUAUUCUUUAGAGACACCAUGGGUAUUAAUCAUUGUUUGCUUUGGUACACAAGUCAAUGGAAAUGCUAAAUGAAGAGAAGACGUAUAUCUUGUUAAACCACGUGUAAAUAUUACAGUUCAUGAAAUGCUACCGUAAAAUGAAUUUGGGUUUCUUCUGCCUUUAGUUACUCAAGACCUUUUUUUUUUGUUUUUCUUUUUUCUUUUGCCUAGAAUAUGAAGAAACGUUGUGUUCAUGUUAUUGUUUAAAUGCUUUUUGUACUCUUAAAGAUAUUAAAUGUUCUAGUUGUUCUAUAUUAUAAUCACCUUUUCUGCGUUCUAUGCAACCCUUUGGAACAGAACAUUCUCAUCUUCAUGUAGGACCUAUGAAAAUUGUCUAUUUUUAUCUAUAUAUUUAAAGUUUUCUAAAAAUGAGAAAAAAAGUUAUUAUGAAUUUUGUUGUACAAAAUCUGUACAAAAAAAAAUCUGUUUUUACAUCAUAUUGCAAGAAUUGGAUAAUUUUUCUAUCGUAGUCUAGUUAAUCUGAGCUUGGUUUCAUGUUCAGAGCCACGUUUCCUGCUAUCGUAUUUAAUUUUCCUCUCUCUCUCUCUCUUUUUUUCUCCUCCUCCUCCUUUUCAACAAUCUGCUAAUAAAACUGUCUGAAAUUUG
Non-coding RNA from Pantherophis guttatus, 4863 nucleotides. Lineage: Eukaryota; Metazoa; Chordata; Lepidosauria; Squamata; Colubridae. The record is from RefSeq and is a predicted model, not a curated record.